CAGGAGAUUGAAUAUGGUUCCCUGUGCUGUACAGUAGAACCCUUGUAUUGUUUAUCUGUUCUAAAUGUGACUCUUUGCAUCCGCUAACCCCAGACUCCCCGUCCCUCCCACUUCCUCCCCCCAUCAUGUAUUUUGCAUUGUUUUUGAUGAUUUCCUUUCCAUGUACCUUAUGCUUAUUUAAUUAUAAAAAUAAUCUGUACUUGUAAUCAUGUGGAAUUCUUAAAAAAGAAAAUGGAUAGUUUAUCCUUUGUUCUGCUUUAUCAAAUCCCUUUUCCACCUUAGUCUCCUCUCUUUGAGGAAAUAUUCACAAUUCCAUAGGUAUCCUUCACGUUCUCUUUUUCACUUAAACAUAUUCUCAUAUACGUAAUAUGAGAUUUCCUUCUGUCUUUUUCUUUUUUUUUUUCUCUUGUCUUUCUAGGGCCGCACCCGAGGCACAUGGAAGUUCCCAGGCUAGGGGUCAAAUCGGAGCCUUAGCUGCUGGCCUAUGCUACAGCCACAGCAACGCCAAAUCAAAGCCAUGUCUGUGACCUACACUAUAGCCCACGGCAGCGCUGGAUCCUUAACCCACUGAGCGAGACCAGGGAUCGAACCGCGUCCUUGUGGAAGCUGGUUGGGUUCGUUACCACUGAGCCACAGUGGAACUUCCUGGGAUUUCUUCCCUUUGUACUUUUUUCAAAAAUGCAAACUUUGUGUACCCUUAAUUUUUUCAAGUUAAGAGUAUAGACCUCUUUUUAGGUCAAAACAUACAAAUCUGUUUCAUUUGUUUUAAUAACCGAAUAAUAUUUCAUCGUGUGGCUGUAGCAUACAUUAUGCUGCUUCUCCCCUGUUGGUGAACAUGCUGGUUGCUUCCAGUGUUUUAUUACCUCAAACCUCUUAUUAGUACCAUAUGAGGAUCAUUUUAGAAGUCUUACAGUUAUUUUUCCAUUCAGUAAAGUGUGUUGCUAAGUAGGUGUAAAAAGUAGAAACCUUCCAUCUCCUGCUUGCUUUCAUCUUUUAUCCUGCACGUCCAUAAUUAGCAGCCUGUUACUAGAGAUUUACAUGCAGGAUAUCUCUUUAUUUGGGGAGUGGCCCUGAAUGUAGCUUUUGUUGUGUGUUGGAGCCAUUUGUGGUUCGCUUCUGUGCGUGGAUUCACUGAUGAGCAGAGGUGAUCUUUCAGCUGUCAUAAUGUCCCAAUUAGACCCCUUCAACAGCAAAUUAAUUUGGGCAAAUCCUGUUUAUUGAUGAUGGACCCACCAGUUAGCCAUGGUUUGCUAGUGUUACCUUGUUAGACUCUGGCCUUAGAUUUUCAUGUGUGAGGAAGCCUGGCUUUCAGAGUGCAUUACUUUAUAAAGCAGCUGGUGGUAUUUGGGAGUUAGGGAGGAAGAGAAUGAUGCUCUGAUGACGUGAAAAAUUUGCCCAGGUCCCCUGGUUUGCUUAAUAGACAAUAAAUACUCUUACUGGUCGCAUGUUUCAGGAUUUUGAGUUCUGGGGAAGCAUUCUUGACAGUGUGAUUAGGAAAACGCCCAGUUUUCAUGUGGGGAAACAAGCCUGCUUAUUAAAGAGGUCACAACUCCCUCUUGCUCCAGUCCUGUUUUCAACUAGAGAGGACAAUGAUGGUUUUGCAGGAUUUAGCGUUGAUCAAAUAAAUGUCGCCUGGCAGAGCCAACUGUCCUGGAUGGAGGCUCUAGGAAGAGGCAUAUGUGGUCCUCUUGCAGGUAAUAAAAUGGAAAAUCCAAUUUGCAAUUGCAGAAGCAGCCUCGGAGUGACAGAUGAUCUGCAUCACCGGGCCGGUCAGAGGGUCACCGCUAAUCACGGCGCCGGCUGGCUCCCCGCGUGGCCUGGGCCUCCCCACCGGAGAACAGGCGGAGGGCACCUGCAUCUGGGAGCCAGCCAGCGUGUCUGAGGGUGCACCACUUUCUAGCUUAUUAGGUCCUCUUUGUCACAGUGCUUAAUCCUGCCGCCUGAUCCUUGUUAGAACAGCACCGGAGCGCCGCGCAGGCUGCUAAUCAAGGAGAUGGGCGAGGGCCUCCUAACUAGACCCAGUGAAGCGUGCGGCAAGUCAGGGCUCCUGCAGCCUGACUGACAGCGGCUGAGAGAUGCUUCCCGCAUGUUAUUACGGGCAAGGGAACCCACCUCGGACAGCUGACGGAUGAGCCCCUGGCGGAGGCCAGAGUAACUUGUUGCGCGGCCAACAGGCGGCGGGGUGUCAGCUUUUCACACAGUCUAAUGGCCAGGCUUUACUCUGAUUAUCUGAACCCUCUUCUGAAAUCGCUGCAUUCAGAGUGAGGUGAACCAGCCAGAGACACCUAGCCGGCCGGGAGAUUACAGCUGUUCAUAGAAGCAGGCACUGUCUUCCCCUCCAGCGACAAUAACCUCACAAAACAAAAUCAUCACAUCUGAUCCCGCCAAGCCAGGCUCUACGUCUGCACUGGGCUUGGCUUGUGCAGCCUCCGUCUCUGUUAUCUGGAAUAAGCCGCAUGCUUUAAGGUUUGCUGUAGACCCAAGGCAUGGUUUUUGGGAUUCUUCGUUAAGAAAAAGCACAGCAUCAGCCACAAAGCAGUGGUUUGGUCCCCUCCGCCCCCCACGCCCCACCCCCUCUUCCUGGUAGACCUGAAUCCUUUUUUUGUUAGGCUUCCCAGUUCUGGCAGGUCUCUGAAGCACCUGGGACUCUGACGUUUAAUAUUAAAUCUAAUUUCGGGAGUUCCUGCUGUGGCUCAGUGGGUUAAAGAGCCGAUGUUGUCUCUGUGAAGAUGUGGGUUCAGUCCUUGGCUGAGCUCUGUGGGUUAAGGAUCCAGCAUUGUUAUCACAAGCUGCGGCAUAGGUCACAGAUGCUCUUUAAGAUCCAUUGUAGCUGUGGCUGUGGUGUAGGCAGGCAGCUGUAGCGCUCAUUGGACACCUAGCCCGGAAACUUCCAUAUGCCACUCAUGCAGCUGUGAAAAGAAAAAAAAAUCCGACUUAGGCUUGUUGGGUACUCACAUAAACAAAUGGGGGUGGGGGAGGGUAACUGCAUCCCUCUUCCCUCCCCCUUCCCCAGCUGGGAUGUACAGAUGAGUUCCAAGUGAUAGAAAUGAAAAUGCUCGUGAGUAGCUUCUGGUCAUUUCCAUGGACCCGCAACUUUCAGACAUCAGUAUAAGACUCCUCCCCGCCUCCCCAGGCCCCCAGGGAGCGUGUCCAGCUCCCGUCCUGCAUUUCCUGCGCUCCAGUUAGCAGCUGUCAUUAGCAUUCCCCGCUGCUUCUUCUGUCUCCACUGACAGCGCUUAAAUAGAGACGUUGCUCGGGAUUGACAGAUCUCGGGGGGUUGGAGGCGUCAGCCGAGAGGGCCCCGGGAACAGAGCUGACCUUUCUUGACAAUAUUCCCCUAGGUUUGUCUGCCACGUGGGCAACCAGGCACCACAGAACUGUAGUACAUUAUUUUCAGAGGAUUACCACUCGAAGACUUCAGGCUUCGUCAGAGGUAGUUACCAAGAGGACCAGAGCCCCAUAUACCUUCCAGAGUGGGUUUGUAGGUGGUUGGUAGUCGAAUACAGGCUCCUCUUUCUCAUAGAAAUAGGCAUCUGGAUGUUAAUUUCAAGGAGGAUCCAUUAGAACCUGUUCAUACCUCACCUGUACGUUUGUUUGAUUGGACAAACCCUGGACCUGGAUGGAAGGGAGUUGGUGAUGCAGCCUGGGAAGGAAGGGAAUCUUCUUCAUCGCGCUGAGUUGGGCAAAGCUUGGAUAGCGGAGGCUUGUCCUUGGGGUCCUUCCCAGAUGCUUUCCCUGGUCCAUAUUGCUCUCAUGUUGACCCAGAGCCCUAAGAUAACAGUGUGCUGAGAACUGCUCUGUGCCCCAAAUAUAGUCGCCUCUUUUCCUCUUCCUGCCCUUCUUUCCUGGAGUAAAACAAUAAUAGUAAUAAUAGUAAUUUGGGAUUGGCACUGUGGUCUAUGGAAUGAUUGGCCAACACGGACCUGCUGUAGAGCACAGGGAACUCUACCCAAUAUUCUGUGAUCAUCUCUAUGGGAAAAGAAUCUGAAAAGCGUGGGUGUGUGUUUACAUGUAGAACUGAAUCUCUUUGUUGUACAGCAGCAAUGAUCACAGAAUUAUAAAUCUAUGCUUCAGUAAAACUUGAGAAAAUGAAAAAAGUUACAGGGGAAAAAAA
Molecule: long non-coding RNA, 4114 nt
Filed under: Sus scrofa (pig)
Lineage: Eukaryota; Metazoa; Chordata; Mammalia; Artiodactyla; Suidae
Description: lncRNA (ENSSSCG00055003589.1)
Source: RNAcentral